GAGUUUGAUCAUGGCUCAGAUUGAACGCUGGCGGCAUGCCUUACACAUGCAAGUCGAACGGCAGCAUGAUCUAGCUUGCUAGAUUGAUGGCGAGUGGCGAACGGGUGAGUAAUACAUCGGAACGUGCCCUGUAGUGGGGGAUAACUAGUCGAAAGAUUAGCUAAUACCGCAUACGACCUGAGGGUGAAAGUGGGGGACCGCAAGGCCUCAUGCUAUAGGAGCGGCCGAUGUCUGAUUAGCUAGUUGGUGAGGUAAAGGCUCACCAAGGCGACGAUCAGUAGCUGGUCUGAGAGGACGAUCAGCCACACUGGGACUGAGACACGGCCCAGACUCCUACGGGAGGCAGCAGUGGGGAAUUUUGGACAAUGGGGGCAACCCUGAUCCAGCAAUGCCGCGUGUGUGAAGAAGGCCUUCGGGUUGUAAAGCACUUUUGUCCGGAAAGAAAUCGCACUUACUAAUAUUAGGUGUGGAUGACGGUACCGGAAGAAUAAGGACCGGCUAACUACGUGCCAGCAGCCGCGGUAAUACGUAGGGUCCAAGCGUUAAUCGGAAUUACUGGGCGUAAAGCGUGCGCAGGCGGUUGUGCAAGACCGAUGUGAAAUCCCCGGGCUUAACCUGGGAAUUGCAUUGGUGACUGCACGGCUAGAGUGUGUCAGAGGGGGGUAGAAUUCCACGUGUAGCAGUGAAAUGCGUAGAGAUGUGGAGGAAUACCGAUGGCGAAGGCAGCCCCCUGGGAUAACACUGACGCUCAUGCACGAAAGCGUGGGGAGCAAACAGGAUUAGAUACCCUGGUAGUCCACGCCCUAAACGAUGUCAACUAGUUGUUGGGGAUUCAUUUCCUUAGUAACGUAGCUAACGCGUGAAGUUGACCGCCUGGGGAGUACGGUCGCAAGAUUAAAACUCAAAGGAAUUGACGGGGACCCGCACAAGCGGUGGAUGAUGUGGAUUAAUUCGAUGCAACGCGAAAAACCUUACCUACCCUUGACAUGCCACUAACGAAGCAGAGAUGCAUUAGGUGCUCGAAAGAGAAAGUGGACACAGGUGCUGCAUGGCUGUCGUCAGCUCGUGUCGUGAGAUGUUGGGUUAAGUCCCGCAACGAGCGCAACCCUUGUCUCUAGUUGCUACGAAAGGGCACUCUAGAGAGACUGCCGGUGACAAACCGGAGGAAGGUGGGGAUGACGUCAAGUCCUCAUGGCCCUUAUGGGUAGGGCUUCACACGUCAUACAAUGGUGCAUACAGAGGGUUGCCAAGCCGCGAGGUGGGGCUAAUCCCAGAAAAUGCAUCGUAGUCCGGAUCGUAGUCUGCAACUCGACUACGUGAAGCUGGAAUCGCUAGUAAUCGCGGAUCAGCAUGCCGCGGUGAAUACGU
This 1368-nucleotide ribosomal RNA is filed under the name unidentified marine bacterioplankton. RNAcentral describes it as "bacterial SSU rRNA". It matches the Rfam family "Bacterial small subunit ribosomal RNA", at positions 9 to 1371 of the family's 1533-position model. The record is from RNAcentral.